UACCGAUAGAGGAGCAGAAACACUGCCACGAGGAUUAGAGUCGUCGCGAACGGGUCCAUGCUGAUUUCGAAUAGAGUAAACACCUAGUUUACUAAGUUUAUCGAGGAUUCCCAGGAAUUAAUAGAGAAUUAGCGAUAAAAAGCACACUUGUUGAUGCGCCGAGAUACAUUAUGCGACUAACUUUGCGCUGGCAGACAUGGAAGGAAGGAGUGGUGAUCACAUGACUCAUGAGUCAUUCGUGGAUUUAAUAAGAGUGGAACAUAGCAGCCUACAUGCAACGAGAAUAACAAUGUUACACAGAACUUAAAAUGUUGUCUAGCAGGCGCUGCAUUGCGUGGAUCGACGCGCGAAUCUUGAUUGGACAUACGGUGUUAAGAAAGUGAAAAGAAGAUCAACAUAUGAAAUAAUAAACAAAUGCUUUCAGUAAUGUGCUUGACCUCUUGAUUAGUAUAUUGCUGAACAUGUGAAAUUAAAAUUAACGAAAUAAACAACUGGUCGUUAAUGAGAUCAUCUACUUAA
Hylaeus anthracinus is the source of this 519-nucleotide long non-coding RNA. RefSeq lists it as uncharacterized. The record is from RefSeq and is a predicted model, not a curated record. Lineage: Eukaryota; Metazoa; Arthropoda; Insecta; Hymenoptera; Colletidae. The transcript has 2 exons.